UUUAAAGGGCCGCGGUAAUUUGACCGUGCGAAGGUAGCAUAGUCAGUAGUCUUUUAAUUGAAGGCUUGUAUGAAUGGUUGGACGAGGGGUAAGCUGUCUCCUUUGUGUAGUUUGAAUUUAACUUUUGAGUGAAAAGGCUCAAAUUGUUUAGUGGGACGAUAAGACCCUAUAAAACUUAAUACAAGUUUGGUUAAAUUUGUGAUGUGUGUAAAAAAUGAUUUUACUGUGUUUGUAUUUCGUUGGGGAGAUGAAGAUAUAAAAUGUAACUGUCUAUUUAAUUUAAUAGCGCUAAUUAGUGUUUGACCCUUCUUUGUGGGUUAAAAGAAUAAGUUACUUUAGGGAUAACAGCGUGAUUUUCUUUGAGAGUUCUUAUCGACAAGAGUAGUUGCGACCUCGAUGUUGAAUUAAAAUUUCAGCUAGGUGUAGCCSNVGUUUAGCUGGUGGGUC
Molecule: ribosomal RNA, 447 nt
Filed under: Macrobrachium australiense
Lineage: Eukaryota; Metazoa; Arthropoda; Malacostraca; Decapoda; Palaemonidae
Description: partial 16S ribosomal RNA
Rfam family: Bacterial large subunit ribosomal RNA
Source: RNAcentral